RNAcentral lists this ribosomal RNA (253 nucleotides) under uncultured bacterium. RNAcentral describes it as "partial 16S ribosomal RNA". It matches the Rfam family "Bacterial small subunit ribosomal RNA", at positions 524 to 776 of the family's 1533-position model. The record is from RNAcentral.
UACGUAGGGUGCAAGCGUUGUCCGGAAUUAUUGGGCGUAAAGAGCUCGUAGGCGGCUUGUCGCGUCGUCCGUGAAAACCUGCGGCUCAACUGCAGGCUUGCGGGCGAUACGGGCAGGCUAGAGUUCGGUAGGGGAGACUGGAAUUCCUGGUGUAGCGGUGAAAUGCGCAGAUAUCAGGAGGAACACCGGUGGCGAAGGCGGGUCUCUGGGACGGUACUGACGCUGAGACGCGAAAGCGUGGGGAGCGAACAGG